RNAcentral lists this ribosomal RNA (468 nucleotides) under uncultured bacterium. RNAcentral describes it as "partial 16S ribosomal RNA". It matches the Rfam family "Bacterial small subunit ribosomal RNA", at positions 28 to 507 of the family's 1533-position model. The record is from RNAcentral.
GACGAACGCUGGCGGCGUGCUUAACACAUGCAAGUCGAACGGAAAGGCCCUGCUUUUGUGGGGGGCUCGAGUGGCGAACGGGUGAGUAACACGUGAGUAACCUGCCCUUGACUUUGGUAUAACUUCAGGAAACUGGGGCUAAUACCGGAUAGGAGCUCCUGCUGCAUGGUGGGGGUUGGAAAGUUUCGGCGGUUGGGGAUGGACUCGCGGCUUAUCAGCUUGUUGGUGGGGUAGUGGCUUACCAAGGCUUUGACGGGUAGCCGGCCUGAGAGGGUGACCGGCCACAUUGGGACUGAGAUACGGCCCAGACUCCUACGGGAGGCAGCAGUGGGGAAUAUUGCACAAUGGGCGGAAGCCUGAUGCAGCAACGCCGCGUGCGGGAUGACGGCCUUCGGGUUGUAAACCGCUUUCGCCUGUGACGAAGCGUGAGUGACGGUAAUGGGUAAAGAAGCACCGGCUAACUACGUG